RNAcentral lists this ribosomal RNA (774 nucleotides) under uncultured Neocallimastigales. Its description in RNAcentral is "partial large subunit ribosomal RNA". It matches the Rfam family "Eukaryotic large subunit ribosomal RNA", at positions 24 to 643 of the family's 3401-position model. The record is from RNAcentral. Lineage: Eukaryota; Fungi; Neocallimastigomycota; Neocallimastigomycetes; Neocallimastigales.
UAUCUCUGUAGAGUCUGCAUAUCAAUAAGCGGAGGAAAAGAAACUAACAAGGAUUCCCUUAGUAACGGCGAGUGAAGCGGGAAGAGCUCAAAUUUGAAAUCUUCAAGGUUCUACCUCGACGAAUUGUAGUUUAAAGAAGUGUUUUCUGUUAGAUGAGUAGCAAAAGUUCCUUGGAAUGGGACAUCAUAGAGGGUGAGAAUCCCGUAUUUGGUUAUUCAUUCUAGCUUUGUGAUACACUUUCAAAGAGUCGGAUUGUUUGGGAAUGCAGUCCAAAAUGGGUGGUAAAUUUCAUCUAAAGCUAAAUAUUGGCGAGAGACCGAUAGCGAACAAGUACCGUGAGGGAAAGAUGAAAAGAACUUUGAAAAGAGAGUUAAACAGUACGUGAAAUUGUCAAAAGGGAAGCGUUUGACACCAGUGUUGUUUUUCCGAAAAUCAAUUACGAAUGGCUUGAUUUUGUGUUGUAUUGACCUUAUCAGCUUUCUUCACUUUUUUCGAGUCUUUCUUAAUGCACUUUUCGGCUAACAAGUCAACAUCAAUUUCUUUUGUUGUAAAAGAGUAUUCGGAAGGUGGCUUUCUUUUCGGAGAAAGUGUUUAUAGCCCUAUAACUUCUACAAUCGGAGAGAUUGAGGUCUGCAGCGUAGAUCCUUCGGGGUUAGAUACACUUGUGCUAAGUUGUAGCUUUUCAUAGACAACUUGUUGACUAUGUUUAGUCAUGCGGCUUACUCGCUUAUGCUAUUUUACCUACGCUUAGGAUGUUGACUGAUAUGUAGUCGU